CCUGGCUCAGGAUGAACGCUGGCGGCGUGCCUAAUACAUGCAAGUCGAGCGAACAGACGAGGAGCUUGCUCCUCUGACGUUAGCGGCGGACGGGUGAGUAACACGUGGAUAACCUACCUAUAAGACUGGGAUAACUUCGGGAAACCGGAGCUAAUACCGGAUAAUAUAUUGAACCGCAUGGUUCAAUAGUGAAAGACGGUUUUGCUGUCACUUAUAGAUGGAUCCGCGCCGCAUUAGCUAGUUGGUAAGGUAACGGCUUACCAAGGCAACGAUGCGUAGCCGACCUGAGAGGGUGAUCGGCCACACUGGAACUGAGACACGGUCCAGACUCCUACGGGAGGCAGCAGUAGGGAACUUCCGCAAUGGGCGAAAGCCUGACGGAGCAACGCCGCGUGAGUGAGAGGUCUUCGGAUCGUAAAACUCUG
This 425-nucleotide ribosomal RNA is filed under the name Staphylococcus epidermidis. Its description in RNAcentral is "bacterial SSU rRNA". It matches the Rfam family "Bacterial small subunit ribosomal RNA", at positions 18 to 435 of the family's 1533-position model. Lineage: Bacteria; Bacillati; Bacillota; Bacilli; Caryophanales; Staphylococcaceae. The record is from RNAcentral.